RNAcentral lists this non-coding RNA (24 nucleotides) under Arabidopsis thaliana (thale cress). The record is from RNAcentral. Lineage: Eukaryota; Viridiplantae; Streptophyta; Magnoliopsida; Brassicales; Brassicaceae.
ACAUAUUUGUGGUCUACGCUCACU